This 252-nucleotide ribosomal RNA is filed under the name uncultured bacterium. RNAcentral describes it as "partial 16S ribosomal RNA". It matches the Rfam family "Bacterial small subunit ribosomal RNA", at positions 524 to 775 of the family's 1533-position model. The record is from RNAcentral.
GACGGGGGGUCCUAGCGUUGUUCGGAAUCAUUGGGCGUAAAGCGUGUGCAGGUGGUUUGGUAAGUUGGAUGUGAAAGCCCCGGGCUUAACUCGGGAAGUGCAUUCAAAACUACCAAACUUGAGUAAGGAAGAGGGUUGUGGAAUUCCUGGUGUAGUGGUGAAAUACGUAGAUAUCAGGAGGAACACCGGCGGCGAAGGCGGCAACCUGGUCCUAUACUGACACUCAUACACGAAAGCGUGGGGAUCAAACAG